GUGGGGAAUAUUGGACAAUGGGGGGAACCCUGAUCCAGCCAUGCCGCGUGUGUGAAGAAGGCCUUUUGGUUGUAAAGCACUUUAAGCGAGGAGGAGGCUUACCUGGUUAAUACCUGGGAUAAGUGGACGUUACUCGCAGAAUAAGCACCGGCUAACUCUGUGCCAGCAGCCGCGGUAAUACAGAGGGUGCGAGCGUUAAUCGGAUUUACUGGGCGUAAAGCGCGCGUAGGUGGUUAAUUAAGUCAAAUGUGAAAUCCCCGAGCUUAACUUGGGAAUUGCAUUCGAUACUGGUUAGCUAGAGUAUGGGAGAGGAUGGUAGAAUUCCAGGUGUAGCGGUGAAAUGCGUAGAGAUCUGGAGGAAUACCGAUGGCGAAGGCAGCCAUCUGGCCCAAUACUGACACUGAGGUGCGAAAGCAUGGGGAGCAAACAGGAUUAGAAACCCCAGUAGUCC
This 451-nucleotide ribosomal RNA is filed under the name uncultured bacterium. RNAcentral describes it as "partial 16S ribosomal RNA". It matches the Rfam family "Bacterial small subunit ribosomal RNA", at positions 354 to 796 of the family's 1533-position model. The record is from RNAcentral.